Molecule: long non-coding RNA, 498 nt
Filed under: Monodelphis domestica (gray short-tailed opossum)
Lineage: Eukaryota; Metazoa; Chordata; Mammalia; Didelphimorphia; Didelphidae
Description: lncRNA (ENSMODG00000041474.1)
Source: RNAcentral
AUGUCUGUCUGUCUGUCUGUCUGUCUAUCUCUCUCCUCUCUCUCUCUCUCUCUCUCUCUCUAUCUCUCUCUCUCUCUCUCUCUCUCUCUCUCUCUCUCUCUCUCUCUCUCUCUCUCUGUGUCUCUCUCUCCUCUCUCUGUCUCUCUGUCUCUCUAUCUCUCUCUGUCUCUGUCUCUCCUCUCUCUCUCUCUCUCUGUCUCUUUCUUUCUGUGUGUGUCUCUCUCUCCUCUCUCUCUCUCUGUCUCUGUGUGUCUCUCUGUCUCUCUCUCUGUGUCUCUCUGUCUCUCCCUCCUCUCUCUCUCUCUCUCUGUGUCUCUCUGUCUCUCUCUCUGUCUGUCUCUCUGUCUCUCUCUCUGUCUCUGUCUCUCUGUCUCUGUCUCUGUCUCUCUCUCUCUGUCUCUCUCUCUCUCUCUCUCUCUCUCUCUCUCUCUCUCUCUCUCUCUCUCUCUAUUUCUCUCCCUCUCUUUCCUGAUGAUCCCUACCCAGACAGGAGGCUAA